GGGGCAGUAGCUCAGUUGGGAGAGCGCCUGCUUUGCAAGCAGGAGGUCGCCGGUUCGAACCCGGUCUGCUCCA
Molecule: transfer RNA, 73 nt
Filed under: Elusimicrobiota bacterium
Lineage: Bacteria; Pseudomonadati; Elusimicrobiota
Description: Elusimicrobia bacterium (anaerobic digester metagenome) tRNA-Ala
Rfam family: tRNA
About the family: Transfer RNA (tRNA) molecules are approximately 80 nucleotides in length.
Source: RNAcentral